Molecule: transfer RNA, 73 nt
Filed under: Petromyzon marinus (sea lamprey)
Lineage: Eukaryota; Metazoa; Chordata; Hyperoartia; Petromyzontiformes; Petromyzontidae
Description: tRNA-Ala (AGC) (tRNA-Ala-AGC-21-1)
Rfam family: tRNA
About the family: Transfer RNA (tRNA) molecules are approximately 80 nucleotides in length. Their secondary structure includes four short double-helical elements and three loops (D, anti-codon, and T loops).
Source: RNAcentral
GGGGGAUUAGCUCAGGUGGUAGAGCGCUUGCUUAGCAUGUGAGAGGUCGUGGGAUCGAUGCCCACGUUCUCCA